GUCUAUGGUCUCAGAUACUCAUGGUCAUGAUGCUGAGAGAAGUCUUGUUAUGUACUUGUCUCAUAGCUAUCUGCUUUGUAAUUUCUCAUGAAGCCAAGGAAGAAAUUUGCCGGCCUGCUUCUUGUGGUGAUCUCCAUGACAUUAGCUACCCUUUUCGCCUGAAAAUCAAUGGUUCUGAUAAGAAUUGUCUCAGCUCCCCAGCUGAACUUACAUGUGAUGAGCAUAAUCGCACCACUAUGAAGCUUUAAAAUGGCACAUGCUAUGUCAGGGAGAUCAACUACGACAACAGUACAAUCCAAGUUGUUGAUCCUGGACUACUAAGGGAUUCUUGCCCCUUCAGACCAGUCUACCUCUUAACAGGUGAUAACUUUAGUCAUACGGAUAUAUACCAGCCAAUCGGGGCUUACGAUUUUGUAGCCUUCUUGGAUUGCUUGCUGCCAUUUAAGUCCCGGGACUAUGCAAAAGUCAAUUGCAGUAGCUCAUUAUCUACAACUUCAUAUUCUUAUAUUAUGGUUGGAUCUUCCACCGUCUUGUAAUAUGGUCACGGCCAGUCUUGCAAUGCUACAACAACCUUGGGGGCGCGGCUCAUAUUUUCCCACUCCUCAUCAGUUGAAGGGGGGUUUUGAUCUUUCAUGGGGGAAAUAUAUCUGUGAAAAGCAAUGCGAGGCAAGUGAUGCUUUCUGUUCAUUUUCAAAUAGCCAGUGGGGGUGCUACGACAACUGCUAUUCACCAUUUACAACCAUCUCUUGUUUUCGAGAUUUCCUUAAACGUGGU
This is a long non-coding RNA of Argentina anserina (silverweed cinquefoil), 774 nucleotides long. RefSeq lists it as uncharacterized. Lineage: Eukaryota; Viridiplantae; Streptophyta; Magnoliopsida; Rosales; Rosaceae. The transcript has 3 exons. The record is from RefSeq and is a predicted model, not a curated record.